Molecule: ribosomal RNA, 977 nt
Filed under: Staphylococcus sp. A2.12
Lineage: Bacteria; Bacillati; Bacillota; Bacilli; Caryophanales; Staphylococcaceae
Description: bacterial SSU rRNA
Rfam family: Bacterial small subunit ribosomal RNA
Source: RNAcentral
CGAGCUCGCGUAUGAUCCUGCUUGCUCCUUUGACGUUAGCGGCGGACGGGUGAGUAACACGUGGGUAACCUACCUAUAAGACUGGGAUAACUUCGGGAAACCGGAGCUAAUACCGGAUAAUAUUUCGAACCGCAUGGUUCGAUAGUGAAAGAUGGCUUUGCUAUCACUUAUAGAUGGACCUGCGCCGUAUUAGCUAGUUGGUAAGGUAACGGCUUACCAAGGCAACGAUACGUAGCCGACCUGAGAGGGUGAUCGGCCACACUGGAACUGAGACACGGUCCAGACUCCUACGGGAGGCAGCAGUAGGGAAUCUUCCGCAAUGGGCGAAAGCCUGACGGAGCAACGCCGCGUGAGUGAUGAAGGUCUUCGGAUCGUAAAACUCUGUUAUUAGGGAAGAACAAACGUGUAAGUAACUGUGCACGUCUUGACGGUACCUAAUCAGAAAGCCACGGCUAACUACGUGCCAGCAGCCGCGGUAAUACGUAGGUGGCAAGCGUUAUCCGGAAUUAUUGGGCGUAAAGCGCGCGUAGGCGGUUUUUUAAGUCUGAUGUGAAAGCCCACGGCUCAACCGUGGAGGGUCAUUGGAAACUGGAAAACUUGAGUGCAGAAGAGGAAAGUGGAAUUCCAUGUGUAGCGGUGAAAUGCGCAGAGAUAUGGAGGAACACCAGUGGCGAAGGCGACUUUCUGGUCUGUAACUGACGCUGAUGUGCGAAAGCGUGGGGAUCAAACAGGAUUAGAUACCCUGGUAGUCCACGCCGUAAACGAUGAGUGCUAAGUGUUAGGGGGUUUCCGCCCCUUAGUGCUGCAGCUAACGCAUUAAGCACUUCGCCUGGGGGAGUACGACCGCAGGUGAACAAAGGAAUUGACGGGGACCCGCACAAGCGGUGGAGCAUGUGGUUUAAUUCGAAGCAACGCGAAGAACCUUACCAAAUCUUGACAUCCUUUGACCCUUCUAGAGAUAGAAGUUUCCUUCGGGG